UCUGAUGCAUCGCGCAUUGGUGCGCAUGGCCCUAGAUAUGGGCACGUGUCGAAUACAUUUGAAUUUUACCGCCAAAGCGAGGGGAAUGCUUUGAAAAUCGAUCUGGGGAUGAAUGAGAAACUUGAGGGGUUAAAAGCAUAAACAGAUUGGAUUCUAAGGUUACUUUGGAUGAAAUCAAGUAUAAAUAAUUCGAAGAAGUAUGCAAAGCGAAUACGAUUGUUUAUAUUCUUUAAAACUAUAAGGAUAGAACACAGAUAAGGAAAGAAGUCGCAGACUUCUAUGUUCAGUACAUGCUUUAUACAGGUAUUUUAAUAAUAGAAGGCAUAGCUUGAACAAGAC
This is a long non-coding RNA of Harmonia axyridis, 339 nucleotides long. RefSeq lists it as uncharacterized. The transcript is spliced from 3 exons. The record is from RefSeq and is a predicted model, not a curated record. Lineage: Eukaryota; Metazoa; Arthropoda; Insecta; Coleoptera; Coccinellidae.